Long non-coding RNA from Nymphalis io (European peacock), 230 nucleotides. RefSeq lists it as uncharacterized. The record is from RefSeq and is a predicted model, not a curated record. Lineage: Eukaryota; Metazoa; Arthropoda; Insecta; Lepidoptera; Nymphalidae. The transcript has 2 exons.
UCUAUUCACGUCAACGCGUCUCUGCGGCUCUGCGCCUACCGACUACGUGGUCACAAUAGUCAUUCAAUAGGAGACGAGCGAAUUCAAUCAAUCAAGGGCAUACGGUAUCAGUAUGAAUUCGAGAACAUAUUUAGUUGUCACGAUACCCUUCAAAUAAAUUGUUUUUUUUUGUGUAUCUUUAAUAUGUAUAUUGCUCUUUAGCGAGAUGAAUAUUAUAAUUUAUAAUUAUA